AGUAAAGUCAGCUAAUAAAGCUUUUGGGCUCAUGCCCCAAACAUGUCGGGUUAAAUUCCCUCCUUUACCA
This 70-nucleotide transfer RNA is filed under the name Paracirrhites arcatus (arc-eye hawkfish). RNAcentral's name for it is "tRNA-Met". It matches the Rfam family "tRNA". Rfam says of the family: Transfer RNA (tRNA) molecules are approximately 80 nucleotides in length. Their secondary structure includes four short double-helical elements and three loops (D, anti-codon, and T loops). Further hydrogen bonds mediate the characteristic L-shaped molecular structure. tRNAs have two regions of fundamental functional importance: the anti-codon, which is responsible for specific mRNA codon recognition, and the 3' end, to which the tRNAs corresponding amino acid is attached (by aminoacyl-tRNA synthetases). tRNAs cope with the degeneracy of the genetic code in two manners: having more than one tRNA (with a specific anti-codon) for a particular amino acid; and 'wobble' base-pairing, i.e. permitting non-standard base-pairing at the 3rd anti-codon position. The record is from RNAcentral. Lineage: Eukaryota; Metazoa; Chordata; Actinopteri; Centrarchiformes; Cirrhitidae.